Erigeron canadensis is the source of this 740-nucleotide long non-coding RNA. RefSeq lists it as uncharacterized. The record is from RefSeq and is a predicted model, not a curated record. The transcript is spliced from 3 exons. NCBI's taxonomy places the organism in Eukaryota, Viridiplantae, Streptophyta, Magnoliopsida, Asterales, Asteraceae.
CACACACCUAAGACGGCAUUGAGAUUUAAUCACUUACUUACCUUUCUAUAGUCAUUAUCCGUCAAAUUAUUCAUCACCUAUAGACCUGAUGCCAAGAACCCACUUCCAGGUGGAGCAAAAGUGGUCUCAUCAGUGAUCAGUCCACUAGGAUCAUCUUAUGUCAGUCAUAGCAAACAAAAAAGUGUUUGAUCAUCAAACAACAAUGUCUGUGGUUCGGAAACACAUAUUAGCUUCACAAGCCCUAGUUGUUCCAGCACAGGGUUUGGGUUAAGGUAGCUACAACCCGAAAACUGAGCCUGACAUUAUCAAACUCAUCACCAUGCCAUUGAAUCCGUUGUCACACUUCUUGACACGUCAGACGCCUACAGCCCUCACACCAGCAAAAUCCUUCCAGGCAAAGAGAAUUGAGAGACAAGGUUUAAGUUGCGACUAAAUUUGGAAGCCAGUGGAAUGCAGGACGUGUAUGGUGAUCCAACAUAUGUCCGAUCAGCUUGUGAAGUUAAUUUGAAAAGAUUUGUCAUUGAUUGUAUUGAUCUCUACAAUGCCAAUCAGAUUGACACUCGUGUCCCAAUCCAUUUUCUUUUGAUUUUCUGUUGUUUUAUUACUGCAAAAGACCUAUAAAUGUUAGCUGCCAUACUGUUUAGUUUCUAGAUACUUGGCUGUUUUUAACAGUUAUAUUUCUGUAAGGUUAUCUGAAGCAUGUGAUUCAAAUAUCAGAAGGGCUCGUGUUGUUCAUCCAA